UUUUUUUUUGAGAAAUGGAGAGAAAACAAGGUUUCUCUUUGCGUCAAGGAAGAGGUGGUGUGUGGUUUAUCAUCCGGGAGGUCAGGAGUGAAGAGUGCAUCGAGAAGUGGGUCACCCAUUACUUUAUUUCAUCGUAUGAAAAAGAUCUCGCAUUUCAGGUAGGGUUUCGGUAUUUCUCACAAGUUUGAGUAAUUUCUGGAAUUUUUGCACCUUCACAACCUUUUUUUGAUAAUGUAUGCGUGUUUGUGUUUGUGAAAGAUGAAUUGUUCUCUAUGUUAAUUUCUAUGGAGAGUUUAAACGUCGAGUUACAUUUCUUCCAAAUUUUAAAUAUUUUUUGAUAUAUAUAUAUGAUUUUUUAAGUAAUUUAUGUUUCUACUUUUUCCCAAC
This 387-nucleotide long non-coding RNA is filed under the name Solanum tuberosum (potato). Its description in RNAcentral is "long non-coding RNA (STUB_LNC008373)". The record is from RNAcentral. Lineage: Eukaryota; Viridiplantae; Streptophyta; Magnoliopsida; Solanales; Solanaceae.